UCCCCCAUGCAGCUCCCGGCUGGGGGGGCCCGGGGCUCAGCGGCGCCGGCGGGGCUGUUCGGGCCCAUCCAGCUGCGGGGGCACCAUGGCCGGGCCCGGCGGGGGGAGCUGCGGCUGCUGUGGCCCCGGCCCAAGGGCAGCGUGCCCGCUCCUGCGGCACAGCCCGGGGCGGAGGUGGCGGCGGGGUGGGGGCUGAGUCCGGGAUGGUCGGAGAGCAGCCGGCACCGGCACACGGGCACCGAGCACCGAGGGGGAAAGCGAGAGGGGCGGCGCUAACGGGAGCAGGGGGGGCCGGCCGGGGCUGGGGCGCUGUCCAUUCGGCCCUGCGGCCCCGGCCCGGGCACGGAGGCUCCCCUGGGCACCGGAGCUCUGAUCUGCCUCCUCCUGACUCGGUUCACCGCAGUCCUCUGCCUCUCUCUCCCAUGUGCUGCUCGGCUCCCCGGCAGGCGAAGCUAUGCAGAGCGUGCGCGCGUGUCAAAGAAUUGGAAACUAAAGGGAUGUCCCUCAAUUGGAGAAUGGCUGAACAAAUUGUGUUAUAUGAUGGUGAUGUAAUACUAUUGUUCUGUAAGGAAUAAUGAACAGAAUGACAUCAGAAAGAGCUGGAAAGACCUACAUGAACUGAUAUAGAGGGAAAUAAGCUGAACCAGGAGAUCAUUAUACACAGUAACUGCAACAUGGAACAAUCAAGACCUUGCUACUAACAGCAAUACCACAAUACAGAAAACUUUUGAAAGACUUAUGAAAAAGAAUGCCAUCCAUCUCCAAAGAAAGAACUGUUGGAGUAGGAAUGCUGAUGAAAACAUAUGGUUUAUCCCUUGUUUAUUUGGGUAUAUUUUAGAGGUUUUGGUUUUAUAAGAUUAUUCACUUGCAAAAAUGAAUAAUAUGCAAAUCUGUUUUUCGUGGUAAUACAGGUAUAACCCAGACUGAAUUGCUUGCCACCUCUGGGAGGUGGGGACAGAAGAAGAGAGGGAGACAAUUUGAAUCAUCCAAUUUUGGAAAAGCUAUGUGGAAAUUUGUUAUUAAAAUAAAAAUAAUAAAAACCUUUUUUUUUUUAAAGAA
Molecule: long non-coding RNA, 1059 nt
Filed under: Monodelphis domestica (gray short-tailed opossum)
Lineage: Eukaryota; Metazoa; Chordata; Mammalia; Didelphimorphia; Didelphidae
Description: lncRNA (ENSMODG00000047734.1)
Source: RNAcentral